ACCCGGGGGGGCAGGCUACACAUGCAAGUCGAGCGGUAGAGAGAAGCUUGCUUCUCUUGAGAGCGGCGGACGGGUGAGUAAUGCCUAGGAAUCUGCCUGGUAGUGGGGGAUAACGUUCGGAAACGGACGCUAAUACCGCAUACGUCCUACGGGAGAAAGCAGGGGACCUUCGGGCCUUGCGCUAUCAGAUGAGCCUAGGUCGGAUUAGCUAGUUGGUGAGGUAAUGGCUCACCAAGGCGACGAUCCGUAACUGGUCUGAGAGGAUGAUCAGUCACACUGGAACUGAGACACGGUCCAGACUCCUACGGGAGGCAGCAGUGGGGAAUAUUGGACAAUGGGCGAAAGCCUGAUCCAGCCAUGCCGCGUGUGUGAAGAAGGUCUUCGGAUUGUAAAGCACUUUAAGUUGGGAGGAAGGGUUGUAGAUUAAUACUCUGCAAUUUUGACGUUACCGACAGAAUAAGCACCGGCUAACUCUGUGCCAGCAGCCGCGGUAAUACAGAGGGUGCAAGCGUUAAUCGGAAUUACUGGGCGUAAAGCGCGCGUAGGUGGUUUGUUAAGUUGGAUGUGAAAUCCCCGGGCUCAACCUGGGAACUGCAUUCAAAACUGACUGACUAGAGUAUGGUAGAGGGUGGUGGAAUUUCCUGUGUAGCGGUGAAAUGCGUAGAUAUAGGAAGGAACACCAGUGGCGAAGGCGACCACCUGGACUAAUACUGACACUGAGGUGCGAAAGCGUGGGGAGCAAACAGGAUUAGAUACCCUGGUAGUCCACGCCGUAACGAUGUCAACUAGCCGUUGGAAGCCUUGAGCUUUUAGUGGCGCAGCUAACGCAUUAAGUUGACCGCCUGGGGAGUACGGCCGCAAGGUUAAAACUCAAAUGAAUUGACGGGGGCCCGCACAAGCGGUGGAGCAUGUGGUUUAUUCGAAGCAACGCGAAGAACCUUACCAGGCCUUGACAUCCAAUGAACU
RNAcentral lists this ribosomal RNA (966 nucleotides) under Pseudomonas sp. RNAcentral describes it as "bacterial SSU rRNA". It matches the Rfam family "Bacterial small subunit ribosomal RNA", at positions 33 to 997 of the family's 1533-position model. Lineage: Bacteria; Pseudomonadati; Pseudomonadota; Gammaproteobacteria; Pseudomonadales; Pseudomonadaceae. The record is from RNAcentral.